UACGGAGGAUGCAAGCGUUAUCCGGAAUGAUUGGGCGUAAAGCGUCCGCAGGUGGCUAUGUAAGUCUGCUGUGAAAGAGUCUAGCUCAACUAGAUAAGAGCAGUGGAAACUACAAGGCUAGAGUACGUUCGGGGCAGAGGGAAUUCCUGGUGUAGCGGUGAAAUGCGUAGAGAUCAGGAAGAACACCAGCGGCGAAGGCGCUCUGCUAGGCCGUAACUGACACUGAGGGACGAAAGCUAGGGGAGCGAAUGGG
This 253-nucleotide ribosomal RNA is filed under the name uncultured bacterium. RNAcentral describes it as "partial 16S ribosomal RNA". It matches the Rfam family "Bacterial small subunit ribosomal RNA", at positions 524 to 776 of the family's 1533-position model. The record is from RNAcentral.